This 302-nucleotide RNase P RNA is filed under the name Allomuricauda sp. Its description in RNAcentral is "RNase P RNA component class A". It matches the Rfam family "Bacterial RNase P class A". From Rfam's summary of the family: Ribonuclease P (RNase P) is a ubiquitous endoribonuclease, found in archaea, bacteria and eukarya as well as chloroplasts and mitochondria. Its best characterised activity is the generation of mature 5'-ends of tRNAs by cleaving the 5'-leader elements of precursor-tRNAs. Lineage: Bacteria; Pseudomonadati; Bacteroidota; Flavobacteriia; Flavobacteriales; Flavobacteriaceae. The record is from RNAcentral.
UUAGCAGGCCACCUUAUCGCUGCAAGUAUGGGCAACCGUGCUUGGAGAGGAAAGUCCGGACACCAAAGUGCAGCAUAGCGGGUAACGCCCGUCCGCCGUGAGGCGAGGACCAGUGCAACAGAAAGCAAGUACAGUUCGGCUGUAGUGAAAUCGGCAAACUCUAUGCGGUGAAACGCCAUGUAAACCAACGUUUGAGGGUUGCACGCCCGAGUUGGAGGGUAGGCGGUUGGAACACUUGGGUAACCAUUUGUCUAGAUAAAUGAUAAGGAUAUACAGAAUCCGGCUUAUGGCCUGCUUUUAAU